GAUGAACGCUGGCGGCGUGCCUAAUACAUGCAAGUCGAGCGAAUGGAUUAAGAGCUUGCUCUUAUGAAGUUAGCGGCGGACGGGUGAGUAACACGUGGUAACCUGCCCAUAAGACUGGGAUAACUCCGGGAAACCGGGGCUAAUACCGGAUACCAUUUUGACCGCAUGGUUCGAAAUAGCAAGGCGGCUUCGGCUGUCACUUAUGGAUGGACCCGCGUCGCAUUAGCUAGUGGGUGAGGUAACGGCUCACCAAGGCAACGAUGCGUAGCCGACCUGAGAGGGUGAUCGGCCACACUGGGACUGAGACACGGCCCAGACUCCUACGGGAGGCAGCAGUAGGGGAUCUUCCGCAAUGGACGAAAGUCUGACGGAGCAACGCCGCGUGAGUGAUGUAGGCUUUCGGGUCGUAAAACUCUGUUGUUAGGGAAGAACAAGUGCUAGUUGAAUAAGCUGACACCUUGACGGUACCUAACCAGAAAGCCACGGCUAACUACGUGCCAGCCGCCGCUGUAA
RNAcentral lists this ribosomal RNA (513 nucleotides) under uncultured bacterium. RNAcentral describes it as "partial 16S ribosomal RNA". It matches the Rfam family "Bacterial small subunit ribosomal RNA", at positions 28 to 523 of the family's 1533-position model. The record is from RNAcentral.